This 551-nucleotide ribosomal RNA is filed under the name uncultured Syndiniales. Its description in RNAcentral is "SSU rRNA". It matches the Rfam family "Eukaryotic small subunit ribosomal RNA", at positions 23 to 586 of the family's 1831-position model. The record is from RNAcentral. Lineage: Eukaryota; Dinophyceae; Syndiniales.
GUCAUAUGCUUGUCUCAAAGAUUAAGCCAUGCAUGUCUCAGUAUAAGUCUUAACACGGCGAAACUGCGAAUGGCUCAUUAAAACAGUUAUAGUCUACUUGAUUUUCGAAUGUUAUAAGGGUAACUGCGGAAAAUCUGGAGCUAAUACUUGCGUCAAAGCCCAACUUCUUGGACGGGCUGUAUUUAUUAGAUACAGAACCAAUACCUUCGGGUUUUUGGAUGAUUCAUAAUAAACGAACGGAGCGCGUUGGCUCGUGCCGGCGCUGUAUCAUUCGAGUUUCUGACCUAUCAGCUUUCGACGGUAGGGUAUUGGCCUACCGUGGCAUUGACGGGUAACGGAGAAUUAGGGUUCGAUUCCGGAGAGGGAGCCCGAGAAACGGCUACCACAUCUAAGGAAGGCAGCAGGCGCGCAAAUUACCCACUCGCGAUACGCAGAGGUAGUGACAAGAAGUAACAAGGCAGGCUGCAAUGCAGUUUUGCCAUUGGAAUGAGUAGAAUUUAAAUCUCUUUUCGACUAUCAAUUGGAGGGCAAGUCUGGUAAGGGCGAAUUCU